Centropristis striata (black sea bass) is the source of this 1088-nucleotide long non-coding RNA. RefSeq lists it as uncharacterized. The transcript has 3 exons. NCBI's taxonomy places the organism in Eukaryota, Metazoa, Chordata, Actinopteri, Perciformes, Serranidae. The record is from RefSeq and is a predicted model, not a curated record.
UAGUAUAAGACUGAACUGUGUAUAAAACCCAAGGGGGCUUUUAUUUUGAAAGAAAGGAAGUGGUUAAUGCAGGAACUUCACCAGUCACGGACUUCCCUCGUGUUUACAUUCGAAGCUCAGCAGCACGCACCGGAGUUCAGGUGUACAAAGGGAGGAGAGACUGACCCUGAUGAUGACCAUAUUGAACUGGAUGACAGCAGCAGCAGCAGGAACCUCCCAGUUCAACCUACUUUUGCUGUACUUAAAGGUUCCUAAGACAUUUCUCAAACAAGAACUGCUGGCCCUGCACAACAGAUCCUGAAGACCUUCCCUCGCACUUAGCAUGGUCGGCGUAUUCAGCUUAUACAUUCUCACCGUGAAAUUGAGAACAAGAACAACAAUAUCCAUACUCUUAUUAAGAAUAUAGAAUGUUGUUGUUAUUGUUCUCACUUACACUGUGAUAAUUUGAGUGGUGCUUAUUCUGCUUAAGACUGAUUACUAUACAGAACACCAAGAUGUUUACUGUACAGAGCUGAGCACUAACUAUUGAAUGAGAGUGUAGAAUAUUGUUGUUCACUGUGAGAAUUUAUGGUGCUGCUUAUUAGGGUUGCAAAAUUCCUUACAUUUUCAAAGUUGGAAACUUUCCAUGCAAAUCAAUGGGAAUUUAUAGGAAUUAACAGGAAUAAUGGGAAAUUUGCAAUAUAUAUAUAUCUGUGCAUAGCAUGCAUUAGCAUUUUUUUACAAACUUUUCUCUCAUCUUAUUCUACAGAACAAUGUAGAAACAUUUUACCCCAGCUAAUGUAGAAGGAAAGGCUGUGAACAAUUGCGUGCAUGUCAGCUGAUGACAAAAGAAUAUAUACAUAUGUAUAUAUAUACAUGUUUAUAUUUAUGCUUGCAUAUGACAGUUUGUAAGAAUUACCCCAACUUUCCCAUUAAUUCCCAUUUAUUCCCAUUGCAAGUUUCCAACUUGGAAUAUUUCCGAAUUUCCCCAGUUUAACUUCCCAUGGAAAGUUUCCAAAAAUUUACCGGAAAUUGUCCACCCCUUUGUAACCCUACUGCUUACUGUGCGUAACACUUGUUUACUACAGAGUUGAAGAGUAUUGAUUAUA